This 835-nucleotide ribosomal RNA is filed under the name Triticum aestivum (bread wheat). RNAcentral describes it as "partial small subunit ribosomal RNA". Lineage: Eukaryota; Viridiplantae; Streptophyta; Magnoliopsida; Poales; Poaceae. The record is from RNAcentral.
UUCCAAGUCCAAUGUGCUCACUGUUAUGUUUGCCUUAAUGUGUUCGGUGAUUUGAUCAUGAGCGUCUAGUUGUCUUAUCAUGAUUUUUUGUUGAUUUUUUGUUCUUCAUCUUAAUUGAUCAUGUCCUUCGUCCAUGAGAAUCUUAGACUUGUAAUGUUUCAAAAUUUGUAGAACGGGAUGUCUUUUAAGUCUCUGAUAUUUCUCCCUCUUUCUCUCUAUCAUCGUCAUCGUUGUUCUGUCUCUCCUCUCCGUGCGUCCCCUAGUCUGAGGGGACACUACCACAGAACAGUCCCCGCACUCUUCGCCGUCGUUGAACCCAAGUCUUUUCUUCGCUUCGUCGUCGUUAAACCCACACCCUCCUCCUCGUCGUUGUCCUCAAAGUCACUUCUCUUUCUCGUCAUUGUUGCAAACCCUCUACCUCGUCAUCGUACUCUAACUCUCUUCCCUUCUCGUCGUCGUCAUCCCAAACCCCAAGUCCCUUCUUCUACGUAGUCAUCUCAAACCCCCUUCUUCCCUCGUCGUCGUCAAGACACCUCUUCUCUCGUCGUCGUCGCCCCCGUACCUCUCCUCCUUGUCUCCUCUGAUCUCCCGUCUCCCUCCACCUACCUCACCGAGACCACCUCGACCACCACGCGCUACCUACCUACCGACGCCGCCACCUCACCUCACCACGACCACCACGUACCACCUCCACGACCCACCGUACCGCGACUACCUACCUCCACUACCACCUCACCACCUACCUCUACCCACUACUCCACCCUCCGCGUGGUGGUGCGGCCGGACCGGCACCGUCGUCGGCCUCCACCUCUUCCUCCCACUCCCUCUACCUCUA